This 2450-nucleotide long non-coding RNA is filed under the name Canis lupus dingo (dingo). Its description in RNAcentral is "lncRNA (ENSCAFG00020027466.1)". The record is from RNAcentral. Lineage: Eukaryota; Metazoa; Chordata; Mammalia; Carnivora; Canidae.
CCACCGAGGAGCUGGGUGAGAGCUCGGGAGAUGAGGGUGUCCCGAGAUCCCGAGGGAAUUUCACAGAGCUGGCCCCUCCUCUGAUACGGGUCCUGCAGCAUGCCCCCCCCCCCCCCCCCGCCAGGCUGGGCACACAGAUGCUCCUCUGUCAUCAGUCCUGGCCUGGCCCGGUUCUUCUGUCCCAGGAACAGACCAGAGUCCUAGGACAGCCCCCCGCCCCCGGCCCGCGGGAGGGCAGCGGGAGAACUCAGGGCCAGGCCUGCGGGACUGUUUGCCUUCGCGGGCAGGGUGACGGGCAGCAGGUCGGGCAGUUUCAUGUUUCUGUUGACGGAUGCUGCUGAGCACCUCAUGACGUGCCAGCCACGGUGGCGAGCACGGGGUGAGCCCAAACACCACGACGGCCCGUGCCACAUGAGCUGUGCUGUCAGCUGGGAAGACACGUUCGACGCGGACUUUCAUGACGUGUCCAAAUUACAAAUGCGGCGCCCCCUUGCCGAGGCCUAAGUUGAACGCUUCCCGGUUCCACACACCUGCAGCCCUUUCAGCUCCAGGGAGGCUCCUUCCUGUCCAUCCUUACUGUUUCCAGCACCGCUUUCCGCUCACGUCCUGCGUGUCCCUCUGCUCUCUCUGUGUUGGGAGUGGACUCCGCAGAAAGGCAUUCCAUGUUGCGGGGCCUCGGAAUGUCUUGGAACUGAGCGGUCACUCAGGACGUGGUUUAUCUGUCCGGCUCCAGGGUUCCCAGCAGGGUCCCAAGGACAACAACGAUGAGCCAGGGAGAAGGCAAAAUGGGUUUAAAUAUGACAGUUUUUUUGGGGAAACGCCUGGGGGGGGGGGUGGCAGGAUGGAGCUGGUGCCGUAUCUCCACCUGAGACUCAGAAAGGCUGUGCCCUCCGAAGCCAGGAUGUGCCCGAAGUCGCCUGUUUGCACGGGCUUCCCGCGCUCACACUCAGGUGCUUGUUGCUUAAGAGCUUCCCACUCUGUCCGAAUCCCGGUCAUCUGAACAAAAUGUGAGUCCCUGCUUGGUGACAGACCAGGCUGGAGGGUGUGGGGGCUCAGAAGCCUCAGCCCAGGACACCCCAGCUGGAAGCAGCCACCUUUCCUGCUCACCUGCUCUGUCUGGCCUCGUCUGUUUCCACCUCCCACCUGCCCCCAUGGCAGCUGAGGUGUCACAGGCAGGACACUUACUCGACGGCGCAGCCUCUUCCGUGCGUUUCCACACACCUCUGAGACUCAGGUUGUGUAGCUUUUGAGGGUCUGAGAAAGGUCCCCGAGGGGUGACGUGCUCCCGGGAGAAGGCUCCUUGUGUGUGAAGGGUUGGACAGUGGGUGGAAAGGGCCCAGCUGCACGUGGCGGCCAGCUCGUCGUUGCGGAGGCCCACAGAGCUUGGCUUGUGCGGUGCACAUGGACUUGCAUGAAGAAUGCAAUUUCUGAAUUAUACCCCUGCCCUUGCCCCAGACAUACUGCCUGAGGAAGAGCACUGUGAGCGCUGCCCCCACCCAGCCUCAUCCCUCCUGCUCCCAAGGAGUUGGCCAGGCAGGUUUGAGAUGCACACAGGCUGUGGGAGGGCAGAGGGAGGCUGGGAGGCUCUGGCUUCUGGGAUCAGCCUCAGCCACUUUUGUUUUGAGGAGUUCAGGUAAUGGAUAAGGAGGACACGCAGCUUUUCCGUGGGUGCUUAGAGCUGAUAGAGAAGCUUGCAGGUAUCAAACCAGGAUAGGUUUCAAGACUGGAAGCAAGGAGAACUUUGCCAUAUAAAGUGAGAGGCUACAGAAUUCUGGAAGAACAAGGGGAUCAAAUAAGAUUUUAAGAAGUGGUUUUCUGCUUCAUCCCCCUUGGCAUUCUUCCAGAUAUUUGAGUGAAAACUGACACUAACGUUUCACAUUUUGAUUUUGGGGCUUUGUUCUUUGGAGUGUGACUCCAUGUGCAGACCAGACAAUACGAAAUUCCUGUUUGUAUUUGGGUUACACACACAGCACAUGCACAUAAACACCACACAUACAGCACAUGUAUCACACACACAGCAUAUACAGUCACACAUAGCACACAUGUAUCAUACAUAUGCCACACACAUCACACAUGCCACACAUCACGUACACACACGUCACACGCACACACACACCACACACAACACACAUGCCACACACACAAAAGGAACCACUCUGAGAGAUGCACUUUUCAGAUGAGAACUGAGAUUUUUCAUCAUAACUUGUAAUACGUACAUCAAUACAUCAAAUACAUUUGACCUGUUGUUCAUUCAUCUAUCUGCCAGGUGGAUUAAAAUGCAGUCUUACUCCUUUUCUGACUCAUUUAUUCUCUCCUAGGAGAAGUCAUUUGUACUCCAGCUACUUUUAAAAGGCAUGAAGCCCAGGCUAAAGAAAGCCUCCUCUCUGGUUGAAAUUCCACAGUGAAGCCUGGUCCAGAAAUAAAUCACAAAAAUAGACAGUCUUUCCUCA